GGGCCGGUAGCUCAGCGGUUAGAGCAGGGGACUUUUAAUCCUCGUGUCCUGGGUUCGAAUCCCAGCCGGCUCACCA
RNAcentral lists this transfer RNA (76 nucleotides) under Chloroflexota bacterium. RNAcentral describes it as "Chloroflexi bacterium (soil metagenome) tRNA-Lys". It matches the Rfam family "tRNA". Rfam says of the family: Transfer RNA (tRNA) molecules are approximately 80 nucleotides in length. RNAcentral also lists the same sequence under 1 other name. Lineage: Bacteria; Bacillati; Chloroflexota. The record is from RNAcentral.